GGUUUGUGGCUCAGUGGUAGAACGCUUGCCUAGCAUGCGUGAGGCACUGGGUUCAAUCCCCAGGACCA
RNAcentral lists this transfer RNA (68 nucleotides) under Marmota monax (woodchuck). RNAcentral's name for it is "tRNA.Ala". Lineage: Eukaryota; Metazoa; Chordata; Mammalia; Rodentia; Sciuridae. The record is from RNAcentral.